GGGUUCCCCGCGAGAGGCGCCGAAGAGCGCGGGAUCCCAGCGCUGGAGGUUGGCUCGGGCAGUGCCCGCGCACGCGCUCGUCCCUACCCUACGCGGCGCUCGUAGGGUCGUUUUUGUGUGCCAUUCUACCCAGGCAGGCCCUACACCCGGCCGGGGCUGGCGGGGCUGGCGGGUUCAGUGCUGCUUGAUCUUCGUAGCCUGGAACAAAGGGCUCGGGAUUUGACUUCAGCCCGUCGGGCGUGCACUUUGCAAGCCCCCGUGCAACCUCUACCGAUGCAGCCCCGUGUCAGCCCUAAUUGUGUGGGUUAAUUCUGAGUAAGCUCCAAGAAGGACGUGCAGGCAUUGGAGAUCCACGCAGGCCUAAAGGAACCCCUGUGCAGUCAGUCAUGUGCUGCCGGAGGAGUGGAUUCGCUAAACCGUGAUAUAUCGAUUCCCCAAAACGCGUUGUUUCCUUUUUGGUGGAAACCCGGCCCUGAUUCACUUCUCUUGAAUACCUCCUGUCUGCGGGGUACUGUGCUGGGUUCUGGGAAUACGGAAGUUAAAAGAUCCAGCUCAGUUUAGUUGGGGAGGACAGGCGAAUGAGCCGAUAAUAACUAAAGCGUGGUAAACAUUAGGGUAGAGACCCUGGGAAACAAGAAAGAUACUCACCUGACUGGAAGUCCAGGAAGACUUCUCAGAGGAGGUAGCACCCGAGCUAUGUCUCGAAGAAGUAGCAAGAGUGGUUGGAGAAGAUAACCCUGGCCUCGGAAGCUGGAUGAGUACUGUGUUAUUUCCCAGGGAAGACCAGCUGGAGCUUAGGGAGUGAGGAGAAGGACUGAAACCAGGUCCGGAAGAGUCUCUGUGCCCUUCCAGGGAGUUUGGAUUUUGUCCCCAAGGCUGUGGGGAGCCUUUGCAAAAUUGUCUUCAGUGGACUGGAUGAUGCCCACCCCCCUGGGAGAGGACCAUCUCUUUUACUGAUUCCGUCAAUUCAGAUGUUAAUCCCAUCCGAGACACCGUCAUGGACACACCCAGAAAUAACUAGUCUUGGCAUUAGGUGGCCCAGGCAAGAUGACACAAAAUUAGCCAUCGCAAGUAACUAACUACUAAAAGACAAGUUUCUCAUAGCCAUUUUCUGUCUUAAGAAUAGGGAUCUUAGGAGUUCCCGUCGUGGCACAGUGGUUAACGAAUCCGACUAGGAACCAUGAGGUUGCGGGUUCGGUCCCUGCCCUUGCUCAGUGGGUUAACGAUCCGGCGUUGCCGUGAGCUGUGGUGUAGGUUGCAGACACGGCUCGGAUCCCGCGUUGCUGUGGCUCUGGCGUAGGCUGGUGGCUACAGCUCUGAUUCGACUCCUAGCCUGGGAACCUCCAUAUGCCGUGGGAGCAGCCCAAGAAAUAGCAACAACAAUAACAAAAGACAAAAAAAAAAGAAUAGGGAUCUGAGAUUCUUUUUCCAAAACUGAAAUAUUAAAAUCAAGAAGUUCCUGGAGUUCCCAUCGUGGCGCAGUGGUUAACGAAUCCGACUAGGAACCAUGAGGUUGCGGGUUCGAUCCCUGGCCUUGCUCAGUCAGUUAAGGACCUGGCCUUGCCAUGAGCUGUGGUGUAGGUUGCAGACGCGGCUCCGAUCCUGCGUUGCUGUGGCUGUGGUGUAGGCCGGCGGCUACAGCUCCGAUUGGACCCCUAGCCUGGGAACCUCCAUAUGCUGUGGGAGUGGCCCUAGAAAAGGCAAAAAGACACACACAAAAAAAUCUUAGCAGUUCCCUUGUGGCGCCCUGGAUUAAGGAUCCAGCAUGGCUGCGGCUGUGAUGCAGGCCACAGAUGUGACCUGGGUUCCAUCCCUGGCCCAGGAACUUCUGCAUGCCAAGGGCACAGCCAAAAAAAGAAAAAAUAUCAAGGCUUGACUGAGGUGAAAUGUCACCUUGCAGGACUGAAUCACUCCAAUCUAAUAUUUACUUUUCAUUCAUUCAUUCAUUCAUUCACAAAGUAAAUAUGAACAUCUGCUAUAGACAGGAACUGUGCUGGGUGUCUAGGAUAUCCCGGUAGGCAAAAGCAGAUGCUCGUGGAACUACUUUUGCAGAGUCCGAUAUCUAGCCCUGACGUUGAAUAUUUUUUCCUGGGCAUAUUGGUCACUUAUACAUGAUCAUGUCUUAUGAGAAGAUAAUUUUAGGAGUUCCUUUAGUAGCUCAGGGGUUAAUGACCUGACUAGGAUCCAUGAGGAUGUGGGUUUGAUCCCUGGUCUUGCUCAGUAGGUAAAGGACCCAGCAUUGCCAUGAGCUGUGGUGUAGGUCACAGAUGUGGCUCAGAUCCUGCGUGGCUGUGGCUGUGGCAGCUGUAGCUAUGAUUCAACUCCCAGCCUGGGAACCUCCAUAUGCCACAAGUGUGGCCCUAAAAAGCAAAAAAAAAAAAAAAAAAAAAAAAAAAA
Molecule: long non-coding RNA, 2397 nt
Filed under: Sus scrofa (pig)
Lineage: Eukaryota; Metazoa; Chordata; Mammalia; Artiodactyla; Suidae
Description: lncRNA (ENSSSCG00055019472.1)
Source: RNAcentral